This 503-nucleotide ribosomal RNA is filed under the name uncultured bacterium. Its description in RNAcentral is "partial 16S ribosomal RNA". It matches the Rfam family "Bacterial small subunit ribosomal RNA", at positions 28 to 523 of the family's 1533-position model. The record is from RNAcentral.
GAUGAACGCUAGCGGCAGGCCUAACACAUGCGAGUCGAGGGGUAGCAGGAUUAAGCUUGCUUAAUUGCUGACGACCGGCGCACGGGUGCGUAACGCGUAUGCAACCUACCUUAUACUGGGGUAUAGCCCGGAGAAAUUCGGAUUAAUCCCCCAUAGUACUAAUGAAUCGCAUGGUUUAGUAGUUAAAGCUUUUUGGUAUACAAUGGGCAUGCGUCCGAUUAGCUAGAUGGCGAGGUAACGGCGCACCAUGGCUACGAUAGGUAGGGGGCCUGAGAGGGUGGUCCCACACACUGGUACGGAGACACGGACCAGACUCCUACGGGAGGCAGCAGUGAGGAAUAUUGGUCAAUGGGCGCAAGCCUGAACCAGCCAUGCCGCGUGCAGGAAGAAUGCUCUAUGGGUUGUAAACUGCUUUUAUUUGGGAAUAAACCUCUUUACGUGUAGAGAGCUGAAGGUACCAAAUGAAUAAGCACCGGCUAACUCCGUGCCAGCCGCCGCAGUAA